Molecule: ribosomal RNA, 497 nt
Filed under: uncultured bacterium
Lineage: Bacteria
Description: partial 16S ribosomal RNA
Rfam family: Bacterial small subunit ribosomal RNA
Source: RNAcentral
GAUGAACGCUGGCGGCGUGCCUAAUACAUGCAAGUAGAACGCUGAAGGAAGGAGCUUGCUCUUUCCGGAUGAGUUGCGAACGGGUGAGUAACGCGUAGGUAACCUGCCUGGUAGCGGGGGAUAACUAUUGGAAACGAUAGCUAAUACCGCAUAACAGUAGAUGUUGCAUGAUAUCUACUUAAAAGGUGCAAUUGCACCACUACCAGAUGGACCUGCGUUGUAUUAGCUAGUUGGUGAGGUAACGGCUCACCAAGGCGACGAUACAUAGCCGACCUGAGAGGGUGAUUGGCCACACUGGGACUGAGACACGGCCCAGACUCCUACGGGAGGCAGCAGUAGGGAAUCUUCGGCAAUGGACGGAAGUCUGACCGAGCAACGCCGCGUGAGUGAAGAAGGUUUUCGGACCGUAAAGCUCUGUUGUAAGAGAAGAACGAGUGUGAGAGUGGAAAGUUCACACUGUGACGGUAUCUUACCAGAAAGGGACGGCUAACUACGUG